Molecule: long non-coding RNA, 2203 nt
Organism: Esox lucius (northern pike)
Lineage: Eukaryota; Metazoa; Chordata; Actinopteri; Esociformes; Esocidae
Exons: 4
Source: RefSeq, a predicted model, not a curated record
CAAGAAUGAUAAAUGAGGUUCAAUGUGUGUUCGGUUUCCACUUCACCACACUGGAAAUUUCCACUACCACCAAUAUUGUAAACAUUCUUCUAUGGUCUGAAACACAGAAGAAUGUCAACAGCGUGACACAACACGUUAAACAGCUCCUCCCCUUAUGGCCUGUUCAGGUAUAAAGACGUCACACCCAUAGCCACUGUGCAGCCAGUCUCAUUGAGUGCCCCGAGGGGACGGGCUGCGCCGCACGUUUUGAAGACAUUGUGGUGCCGAGGCGGUUUUGGUCGUGUGUGGGUGUGUGAGACAGACACGCUGGAAUGUAAACCAGAAACUGGAGGGUCUGAAGCCGGAAAAAUGUAACUGAACGCAUGAUCCACCAAGGGAUGUGUGGUUGCCAGAUGUGUGGUUGACGUCGUUCCUUCAAUCAAGUUUGAGGUAUUGUGACGAUGUCAAACGGAUGCAGGACAAAUGCAGGGAGAACUGAGGACAUUUAAUAAAUGAAACAGAACUGACAGGAACAAAACAGAAUAUUGGAUAAAAGAACUGGGAUAGACAGGAACAAAAUUAAACACAGAAUAGUAUGGAACAACGCUACAUGUGGUAAAACCUAUAUAAUGUAUUGAGGUUAAAUACUUUUUAUUUUUUUAUGUAAAAAAUUUCGUAUAUGGAAAUUGUAUUUUGUUGCUAAAGACUUGGGCCCCCGAUCAGACGUCAUGUAAUAUCAAAGUGAUCAGUCUUUUUUUUUCUCAACCAGAAGGCAUGAAAGGUAGCUAAAACUUUCUAGUAAACUUUUAAGAGAAGACUACGAGCUGUUAUUAGUAAGAACUAAAUAAUAAAUUGGUCAACAAUCGGGGAUGGUGGCCGAUUAUAGAGGAUCAUAUAGUUUAGCUACAUCACUAACCAAUGAGCUGAAAAUAUGAAUAUUUCCACUGACAUUUCAGAAAUGCUAAUUAAUUACAUGCUAGUUAACAUUUGUGUGUCUCUAAUAAUCACUAAACAUUGACGACUUGAUCAAAUUAUUACUCGGUACAAGAAGAUAUACUUCAAAACUGCUUUUGGGUAUGCGCAUAAUAGGGGGUUCUUUGCUACACAACCAUCUUGUCUUUGAUGACAAUGCAAAAACACUCUUAAAGUGAGUUUCAAGAUUUUAGCAGUCUCGCAUAGCCACAUAAAUGACAGUAAGCAAAAGCCUUUGAAAAGUCAAUAAACAAAGUUAAACAAUUAGAUUUUUCAUUCAGUGCUGUAGCAAUAUCAUUCCUAACCAAUGUAGUGACGGUAAUAGUACUGUGCCCAUGUCUAAAACCAGAUUGAUUUUUAUUCAGAAUUCCGCUAAAAAAUAACUGUAUUCUAAACAAAGACAGAUUUUGGUAGGCAUGAUAAAUCAGAAAUCUAGUAGUAACUAGUAACACAAGCAUUAUCUAGUGGCAGCACAUGGGUGGUUUUACACACUUUGGAAUAACUCCAGAAAUUAAUGUUGGAUUAAAAAUUCCAAAAAUAAGAGGAGCAGCACUGACCACCAGACCUGGUUAAAGUUUGUUGGCCCCUGUGUCUUUCUUGGUGUUGAUAGCUUACAAAGCAUUUAAGAUGUAUUUUACCGUGAAUGGAGUUGGUAAAAAAUAUUGGUAAUCAACAUCUAAUUGGCCCUGCAUGAAUGUUUGAUUCUCUUCACUUCCUUUUUGGUUUCCAUUUGGGGUGGUAAUGGCAGUUUUCUGAAAUAGAGAGUUUGCUACAUUGAAGUGGUGAUUGAAGGCAAUAUUUCUUAUAAGUAAUGAGCACAAGUCCACAAGAAUCUGUUUUGGCAAUGAGGCAGUGAAUAUCCUUGAACAAAUACAUUAGCCACAUGUGAAGAUAACAAAGAUAACAAAAUAUCUGAGAGAGAGAUUUCUGACAGUUCACAACUCUAUUAUAUUAGAGGAUCUAUUUGCCUUAAAGAAUAUGACAAUCAACAUCAUCCCCAUAUGCUUCAACAGCAGAUGGGAUUCACUUGAAUCCUGUUUAUGUAGCCUAAUUCUGCUCAUAUACCAGUGUUAGAAUCAGUGUGCUAAAUAAAACAACAAUCAGUAUCUUACCAAAAGAAGGGUUGGAGACCACAGAGGAGACCACUGAUUUCUAUUCAAUUAAAUGUCUUAAAUAAGCAUAAAUUAACAAACACUUUAACUGACAAUUUAGUGGAUAAUGUUCUGGUCAGUAUGUUAGUAUUUAUUUUGCA